UACGUAGGGUGCGAGCGUUAAUCGGAAUUACUGGGCGUAAAGCGUGCGCAGGCGGCUUUGUAAGCCAGAUGUGAAAUCCCCGGGCUUAACCUGGGAAUGGCAUUUGGGACUGCAAGGCUGGAGUGCGGCAGAGGAGACUGGAAUUCCCGGUGUAGCAGUGAAAUGCGUAGAUAUCGGGAGGAAUACCGAUGGCGAAGGCAGGUCUCUGGGCUGACACUGACGCUCAUGCACGAAAGCGUGGGGAGCGAACAGG
This 253-nucleotide ribosomal RNA is filed under the name uncultured bacterium. RNAcentral describes it as "partial 16S ribosomal RNA". It matches the Rfam family "Bacterial small subunit ribosomal RNA", at positions 524 to 776 of the family's 1533-position model. The record is from RNAcentral.